RNAcentral lists this ribosomal RNA (253 nucleotides) under uncultured bacterium. Its description in RNAcentral is "partial 16S ribosomal RNA". It matches the Rfam family "Bacterial small subunit ribosomal RNA", at positions 524 to 776 of the family's 1533-position model. The record is from RNAcentral.
UACGUAGGGGGCAAGCGUUGUCCGGAUUUAUUGGGAGUAAAGAGCGAGUAGGCGGCCAGGGACGUCCGUUGUGAAAACUCGAGGCUCAACCUCGAGACGCCGAUGGAAACCCCCUGGCUAGAGUCCGGAAGAGGAGAAUGGAAUUCCUGGUGUAGCGGUGAAAUGCGCAGAUAUCAGGAAGAACACCCGUGGCUAAGGCGGUUCUCUAGUACGGUACUGACGCUGAGACGCGAAAGCGUGGGGAGCGAACAGG